This 1371-nucleotide long non-coding RNA is filed under the name Ananas comosus (pineapple). RNAcentral's name for it is "long non-coding RNA (ACOM_LNC014674)". The record is from RNAcentral. Lineage: Eukaryota; Viridiplantae; Streptophyta; Magnoliopsida; Poales; Bromeliaceae.
GAGCCGGCUCGCGUUCGACUCGUGUUCGGCUCGAUAUUCGGCUCGCUCGAGCUCGACUUGAAAUUAAAUGAGCCGAGCUUGAACAAAAUAAAAGGCUCGAAAUUCAUUUCAAGCCGAGCUUGAGUAUUACUCGGCUCGUUCGAAUUAGGCUCGAAAAGCUCGAAAGCUCGAAUAUAUAUAUAUAUAUAUAUAGAGAGAGUUGAGCUGGAAUGCUAUCGGUAGCAAACGGGCUCCGUUGCCACCCAUUUGUUUUUUAUGAUGGAGCUUUCAAAUCGACGAUCGACAUCGUUGAACAUGAUCUAUAUCACUUGAAAUAUUUAGAAAUUAAAUUUCAAAUCUUUUCGACAUCAUUUACCUAAUGAUCAAAGAGUUUCAAAAUUAGUAAUUUUAAUGGUUGAUAUGAGGGGUUUUCUCGUUUAACGGUGUAAAGCUAUCCAAAUCAAUUAAAUUUUGGUUAGAAAAUUCUUUAAACUAUUUAGAAUAAGAUCUAUACUCUCGAUCAUGAUUACAAAAUUUCUAUCAUCACUUUUUAAAGGAUAUUCAUUUUCAGCCAUUCAUUUUUACGCCCACUUGAUGGACAAGAAAACAAUAUCGGAAAAAUAUGAAAUUUGAUUUCUAAAUACUUCAAGUGGUAUAGAUCAUUUUCAACGGUGCCGAUCCUCGAUUUGGAGGCUCUAUCAUCGAAAACAAAUAGAUGGCAAUGGAGCCCGUUUGCUACCUAUAGUAUUCCAGCUCAACUCUAUAUAUAUAUAUAUAUAUNACAAAUAGAUGGCAAUGGAGCCCGUUUGCUACCGAUAGUAUUCCAGCUCAACUCUAUAUAUAUAUAUAUAUAUAUAUAUAUAUAUAUAUAUAAUAUUUAUAAAUAUAAUAUAUUUUAAUUAUAUAUAGGCUUUAAUUUAAUUUGGGCCAUUAUUGUUGGCCCAUAAAAUAAAUCCAACAAGUACAACCAUACAAUUGAGCCCAACUCUAAAUUACAUAACACACUCUCUUUUUCAGACUUUCACUGUUGCACGUAACCCUAAAACAUGAUAACAUUCAAAUUUUUAAAUCCCUAAUUUUUUUCCCCUCUCUCUCUCUGAUCCUCAUCCAGUCAGACAGUCACCCUAGCUCACAUUUCUUAUAAUUAUUUUGUAUUUUGAACUAUUGAACAUGUUGCAUCAAAUUAUAGGUAAUGUUCUAUAAAAAUUAAACUAUUGAUUAUAUAAUGUCGAGAAUUUCAAUCGGCUCGUUUAGAGCUCGAGCUCGGCUCGACUCGAAAUUAGGCUCGCUCGAGCUCGACUCGAAUUAAUUUCAAGCCGAGCUUGAGCCUAGAUUUAGGCUCGAAAUUAAUUUCAAGCCGAAUUUGAGCUGACAUAAGCUCGCUCGAGCUCG